UACGUAGGGUGCAAGCGUUGCCCGGAUUUAUUGGGCGUAAAGGGCGCGUAGGCGGCUCUGCACGUUCGUUGUGAAAUCGCCCGGCUCAACUGGGCGGGGUCAGCGGAUACGGCAGAGCUUGAGCAAGCUAGGGGGCAAUGGAAUUCCCGGUGUAGUGGUGGAAUGCGCAGAUAUCGGGAGGAACACCGGUGGCGAAGGCGGUUCUCUGGGCCUUACCUGACGCUGAGGAGCGAAAGCGUGGGGAGCGAACAGG
Molecule: ribosomal RNA, 253 nt
Filed under: uncultured bacterium
Lineage: Bacteria
Description: partial 16S ribosomal RNA
Rfam family: Bacterial small subunit ribosomal RNA
Source: RNAcentral